GACCCCAUGUCAGGUGGGACUACACGCUGAGUUUACGCAUAUCAAUAAGCGAAAGAAAAGAAACUUACAAGGAUUCCCCUAGUAACGGCGA
RNAcentral lists this ribosomal RNA (91 nucleotides) under Bryonia marmorata. RNAcentral's name for it is "partial 25S ribosomal RNA". It matches the Rfam family "Eukaryotic large subunit ribosomal RNA", at positions 1 to 92 of the family's 3401-position model. Lineage: Eukaryota; Viridiplantae; Streptophyta; Magnoliopsida; Cucurbitales; Cucurbitaceae. The record is from RNAcentral.